This 78-nucleotide transfer RNA is filed under the name Endocronartium harknessii PhW48OC. RNAcentral's name for it is "tRNA-Gln (CTG) (tRNA-Gln-CTG-3-1)". It matches the Rfam family "tRNA". Rfam says of the family: Transfer RNA (tRNA) molecules are approximately 80 nucleotides in length. The record is from RNAcentral. Lineage: Eukaryota; Fungi; Basidiomycota; Pucciniomycetes; Pucciniales; Coleosporiaceae.
GGCCAAUUUGGUAGUGUAGCAGACAGACACACAUGACUCUGGAUGAUGAGGUCCCAGGUUCGAAUCCUGGUCUAGUCA